AACAGCGUGGCUCAGUGGAAAGAGCCUGGGCUUCAAAAUCAGAGGUCAUGGGUUCGACUCCCAGCUCUGCCA
RNAcentral lists this transfer RNA (72 nucleotides) under Ornithorhynchus anatinus (platypus). It matches the Rfam family "tRNA". From Rfam's summary of the family: Transfer RNA (tRNA) molecules are approximately 80 nucleotides in length. Their secondary structure includes four short double-helical elements and three loops (D, anti-codon, and T loops). Further hydrogen bonds mediate the characteristic L-shaped molecular structure. tRNAs have two regions of fundamental functional importance: the anti-codon, which is responsible for specific mRNA codon recognition, and the 3' end, to which the tRNAs corresponding amino acid is attached (by aminoacyl-tRNA synthetases). tRNAs cope with the degeneracy of the genetic code in two manners: having more than one tRNA (with a specific anti-codon) for a particular amino acid; and 'wobble' base-pairing, i.e. permitting non-standard base-pairing at the 3rd anti-codon position. Lineage: Eukaryota; Metazoa; Chordata; Mammalia; Monotremata; Ornithorhynchidae. The record is from Rfam by way of RNAcentral.